GGUGGCUCAGUGGUAGAACGCUUGCCUUUCAUGCAUGAGGUCCUGGGUUCGAUUCCUCAGCACCA
Molecule: transfer RNA, 65 nt
Filed under: Dipodomys ordii (Ord's kangaroo rat)
Lineage: Eukaryota; Metazoa; Chordata; Mammalia; Rodentia; Heteromyidae
Rfam family: tRNA
About the family: Transfer RNA (tRNA) molecules are approximately 80 nucleotides in length. Their secondary structure includes four short double-helical elements and three loops (D, anti-codon, and T loops).
Source: Rfam by way of RNAcentral